Molecule: ribosomal RNA, 474 nt
Filed under: uncultured bacterium
Lineage: Bacteria
Description: bacterial SSU rRNA
Rfam family: Bacterial small subunit ribosomal RNA
Source: RNAcentral
GACGAACGCUGGCGGCACGCUUAACACAUGCAAGUCGAACGGCGAAGAGGAGCUUGCUCCUCGGAACAGUGGCGGACGGGUGAGUAACGCAUGAGCAACCUGCCUUUAAGAGUGGAAUAAUGACUGGAAACGGUCACUAAUACCGCAUAAUAUAUAUCAAUCGCAUGGCAGAUAUAUCAAAGAAUUAUCGCUUAAAGAUGGGCUCAUGACCGAUUAGCCGGUUGGUGAGGUAACGGCUCACCAAAGCAACGAUCGGUAGCCGUACUGAGAGGUAGAACGGCCACAUUGGGACUGAGACACGGCCCAGACUCCUACGGGAGGCAGCAGUGGGGAAUAUUGCACAAUGGAGGGAACUCUGAUGCAGCGAUGCCGCGUGAGGGAAGAAGGUUUUCGGAUUGUAAACCUCUGUCUUUGGGGACGAAAAUGACGGUACCCAAGGAGGAAGCUCCGGCUAACUACGUGCCAGCAGCCGCU